UGGGGAAUAUUGCACAAUGGGGGAAACCCUGAUGCAGCGACGCCGCGUGAGCGAAGAAGGCUUUCGAGUCGUAAAGCUCUGUCCUAUGAGAAGAUAAUGACGGUAUCAUAGGAGGGAGCCCUGGCUAAAUACGUGCCAGCAGCCGCGGUAAUACGUAUGGGGCGAGCGUUGUCCGGAAUUAUUGGGCGUAAAGGGUACGUAGGCGGUUUUUUAAGUCAGGUGUCAAAGCGUGGAGCUUAACUCCAUUAAGCACUUGAAACUGAAAGACUUGAGUGAAGGAGAGGAAAGUGGAAUUCCUAGUGUAGCGGUGAAAUGCGUAGAUAUUAGGAGGAAUACCGGUGGCGAAGGCGACUUUCUGGACUUUUACUGACGCUCAGGUACGAAAGCGUGGGGAGCAAACAGG
Molecule: ribosomal RNA, 403 nt
Filed under: Verrucomicrobiota bacterium
Lineage: Bacteria; Pseudomonadati; Verrucomicrobiota
Description: Verrucomicrobia bacterium partial 16S ribosomal RNA
Rfam family: Bacterial small subunit ribosomal RNA
Source: RNAcentral